GUUCUCAAUUCGGCAGCAUAUUAAAAUCAGGAUGAUACAGAGAAGAUAAGCAUGGGCCCUGAACAAGAAUGACAUGCAAGUUCAUGAAGGAUGAAGGAUUCCA
Fukomys damarensis (Damara mole-rat) is the source of this 103-nucleotide small nuclear RNA. NCBI's taxonomy places the organism in Eukaryota, Metazoa, Chordata, Mammalia, Rodentia, Bathyergidae. The record is from Ensembl.